AGGCAGUGGAUUGUGAUCCA
Molecule: transfer RNA, 20 nt
Filed under: Liparis petiolata
Lineage: Eukaryota; Viridiplantae; Streptophyta; Magnoliopsida; Asparagales; Orchidaceae
Description: partial tRNA-His
Source: RNAcentral